Molecule: small nuclear RNA, 144 nt
Filed under: Tursiops truncatus (common bottlenose dolphin)
Lineage: Eukaryota; Metazoa; Chordata; Mammalia; Artiodactyla; Delphinidae
Also listed under: 1 other name
Description: U4 spliceosomal RNA (ENSTTRG00000022452.1)
Rfam family: U4 spliceosomal RNA
About the family: U4 small nuclear RNA (U4 snRNA) is a component of the major U2-dependent spliceosome. The structure of U4 snRNA from yeast and human has been reported. U4 snRNA presents a k-turn RNA motif in the 5p-SL related to recognition of Snu13 protein.
Source: Rfam by way of RNAcentral
AGCUUUGCGCAGUGGCAGUAUUGUAGCCAAUGAGGUUUAUCCAAGGCGUGCUUAUUGCUAACUGAAAACUUUUCCCAGUACCCCACCACCAUAACGACUUGAAAUAUAGUCUGCAAUGGCAAUUUUUGACAGUCUCUAUGGAGA